CAACAACUUCAAUGAACUGACUUUGACUC
Molecule: non-coding RNA, 29 nt
Filed under: Mus musculus (house mouse)
Lineage: Eukaryota; Metazoa; Chordata; Mammalia; Rodentia; Muridae
Source: RNAcentral